GAUAAGAUGGCUGAAAUUAUAGGCAAUAAAUUGUAAAUUUAUUUAUGAGAUAACUCUCUUAUCA
Molecule: transfer RNA, 64 nt
Filed under: Urolabida histrionica
Lineage: Eukaryota; Metazoa; Arthropoda; Insecta; Hemiptera; Urostylididae
Description: tRNA-Tyr
Source: RNAcentral